GAUGAACGCUGGCGGCGUGCCUAAUACAUGCAAGUCGAGCGAACGGACGAGAAGCUUGCUUCUCUGAUGUUAGCGGCGGACGGGUGAGUAACACGUGGAUAACCUACCUAUAAGACUGGGAUAACUUCGGGAAACCGGAGCUAAUACCGGAUAAUAUUUUGAACCGCAUGGUUCAAAAGUGAAAGACGGCCUUGCUGUCACUUAUAGAUGGAUCCGCGCUGCAUUAGCUUGUUGGUAAGGUAACGGCUUACCAAGGCAACGAUGCAUAGCCGACCUGAGAGGGUGAUCGGCCACACUGGAACUGAGACACGGUCCAGACUCCUACGGGAGGCAGCAGUAGGGAAUCUUCCGCAAUGGGCGAAAGCCUGACGGAGCAACGCCGCGUGAGUGAUGAAGGUCUUCGGAUCGUAAAACUCUGUUAUUAGGGAAGAACAUAUGUGUAAGUAACUGUGCACAUCUUGACGGUACCUAAUCAGAAAGCCACGGCUAACUACGUG
Molecule: ribosomal RNA, 497 nt
Filed under: uncultured bacterium
Lineage: Bacteria
Description: partial 16S ribosomal RNA
Rfam family: Bacterial small subunit ribosomal RNA
Source: RNAcentral